AAAAAGAACCUGAAACCGUGUACGUACAAGCAGUGGGAGCACAGGUUUACCUGUGUGACUGCGUACCUUUUGUAUAAUGGGUCAGCGACUUAUAUUCUGUAGCAAGGUUAACCGAAUAGGGGAGCCGUAGGGAAACCGAGUCUUAACCGGGCGUUAAGUUGCAGGGUAUAGACCCGAAACCCGGUGAUCUAGCCAUGGGCAGGUUGAAGGUUGGGUAACACUAACUGGAGGACCGAACCGACUAAUGUUGAAAAAUUAGCGGAUGACCUGUGGCU
RNAcentral lists this ribosomal RNA (275 nucleotides) under Salmonella enterica. Its description in RNAcentral is "partial 23S ribosomal RNA". It matches the Rfam family "Bacterial large subunit ribosomal RNA", at positions 541 to 816 of the family's 2925-position model. RNAcentral also lists the same sequence under 3 other names. The record is from RNAcentral. Lineage: Bacteria; Pseudomonadati; Pseudomonadota; Gammaproteobacteria; Enterobacterales; Enterobacteriaceae.